RNAcentral lists this ribosomal RNA (253 nucleotides) under uncultured bacterium. RNAcentral describes it as "partial 16S ribosomal RNA". It matches the Rfam family "Bacterial small subunit ribosomal RNA", at positions 524 to 776 of the family's 1533-position model. The record is from RNAcentral.
UACAGAGGGUGCAAGCGUUGUUCGGAAUUAUUGGGCGUAAAGCGCGUGUAGGCGGCUUGGCAAGUCGGGUGUGAAAUCCCUCAGCUUAACUGAGGAAGUGCUCCCGAAACUGCUGAGCUUGAAUACCGGAGAGGAUGGCGGAAUUCCCCAAGUAGAGGUGAAAUUCGUAGAUAUGGGGAGGAACACCGGUGGCGAAGGCGGCCAUCUGGACGGCUAUUGACGCUGAGGCGCGAAAGCUAGGGGAGCAAACGGG